UGGGGAAUAUUGGACAAUGGGCGCAAGCCUGAUCCAGCCAUGCCGCGUGUGUGAAGAAGGCUCUAGGGUUGUAAAGCACUUUCAGUAGGGAGGAAGGCCAGAGGCUUAAUAAGUCUUUGGAUUGACGUUACCUACAGAAGCAGCACCGGCUAACUCCGUG
Molecule: ribosomal RNA, 160 nt
Filed under: uncultured marine bacterium
Lineage: Bacteria
Description: partial 16S rRNA
Rfam family: Bacterial small subunit ribosomal RNA
Source: RNAcentral